GCCUGGCUCGUUCUAUCAGUAGAGCAUGUGACUCUUGAUCUCUGGGUCAUGAGUUCAAGCCCCAUGUUAGGCA
This 73-nucleotide transfer RNA is filed under the name Canis lupus familiaris (dog). It matches the Rfam family "tRNA". From Rfam's summary of the family: Transfer RNA (tRNA) molecules are approximately 80 nucleotides in length. Their secondary structure includes four short double-helical elements and three loops (D, anti-codon, and T loops). RNAcentral also lists the same sequence under 1 other name. The record is from Rfam by way of RNAcentral. Lineage: Eukaryota; Metazoa; Chordata; Mammalia; Carnivora; Canidae.